RNAcentral lists this long non-coding RNA (2133 nucleotides) under Salvia miltiorrhiza (redroot sage). RNAcentral's name for it is "long non-coding RNA (SMIL_LNC006141)". Lineage: Eukaryota; Viridiplantae; Streptophyta; Magnoliopsida; Lamiales; Lamiaceae. The record is from RNAcentral.
GAGUGAGUAAUUUGUAUAGAUAAUCCAUACUAAAUAAUACACCAAGAAUGAUCACCACAGGAAAAUGAUGCAUCAACUUAACUGAGUUUCUGCACAUAAAAAAAGUCUCAGCUACCUAAGAUACAGAGAAGUUAUGCAAACAAGAGAGAGAGAGAGGAGAGCAAGUUCCAUUAUUGAACUUGAGAUGGCAAUCAGUGGAUAUGUCAAAGCAACUUGCAACAGACAGUAGAGGAAUCGACCAAGGAGGAGGAGCUGCAUCAAGAUUCAGCAGCAGUAGCAUCGACAGCUGCAGCAUUCUGCGCUUCCAAGAGCUUCAUCUGGCGCUCUGCGUGCUCCCUCUCACAAGCAUUGAUCCCCAUGAUUAUGUCGAGCAUGGUACCUGUCGUGCCAAAGAACACAAGGGAAUCCCUUACUAAUGAUUCAUUUUCAUUGUUAAACCAAACACUCAAUAAAAGUAAUGGUUAUUGUUACCAUUCCACUCCUUUAUUUGAUUCCAUUCCCUUUCCAUUCCUUUAUUUGAACCAAACGAGCACUAAAUAUGAAGACUUUCAGAUCCAACAAGAGAAUCAACAACUAAAACAGAUUAGUUAGUUAGAUCAUGGCAAGAGAAAUCACAAUCAUCUUCCAUCCAAAGAUCAUUAGAUGAGGGGUUGUAGAUUUCAAUCCAUCCAUUACAACUCUACUUAACCAAACCAGCUGACUAACAGAUUCUACGAAACUAGUGUUGCUAUAAACUAGCUUCUUCCUUCAGAAUGCGUCAUUGCCCUCUCUCUCUAGUAGUUAGCAGUUUACACAAGCUUCAUUAUUCUUUCAUAGUUUCAAUAGAGCAACUCGAGAAGAACCUCUCACGAGAUGAAGAGCCGAGACAUCCAUUGCUAACAAAACUUUGUUGGUAGCAAUCCUUCACCGGAUUUUAAAUUAAUCCAUUAAGCAACUUAAUGAAGCUUCAACCAAGUACCAAGAAUCAUCAAUCAUAUUCAUCACAGCACCAAUCACUAAAACAUUUCCUAGUCUUCACAAAUUUAUCAUAUCCCAUUGUAGGAAAAUGCCCUAGCUCAAAUAUAUAGAACUUUAAUCACGAAAACACAAAAGAGUGAAUCAAAUAAAGGUUGGAGUAGAGCUUCCUAAUCCAUCACCAUCACCAAUUUUCUUCUUAAAAAACAAAACCUGGCCUCACUUCUACUCUCACUGAAAACAACAAUUAGCCACAAACAGGAGAUCUAUAACUCAUAAAACAACUUUUNUUUUUUUGCAACACACAUAAUCAAGAAUUAGAUUUACAAAAGUAAAAGAAGAGAGAAAGAAGACUGCUUAAAGCUUUGUGGGUGGGAACAGUGUGGUUGCUCUGGGAAAGCAGGAAUGGUAGUCGUUUUCAGGACAAGGCUUGGGAUAUUGAUAGACUUGUCUUACAGAUUAAGGGGAGACUUUGGAGCUGGAACGAGGCCUACAAAAUCGUGGAGUUAGGAAUUCCUUUUACUUCUUGGUGUUCCAAAGAUUUUAAACUUGUUUUAUUGUUUUGAUUGGCAUUCCUGAUGCCUUGACCCCUUUUCUUUCAAUAAAAAUUUUACUUUACUGAUCAAAAAAAAAAAAAGAAGAGGGAUAGGAAAAUAAUACAAACUUUGAAACAGAGCAUUCCUCUAAUUUCUUCUCUUCCUCUUUUCCGGCCAUGAUAAAUCACUCAGUUUCUUCACGCCUCCCACCAAAACGUCAAUCUGAUCAGCACAGGAAAAUCAGAACCACUAUUGUCAACAAAUCAUAACAGGUGCUAAUCAAAACAGAAAAUCCACAUACCAAAAUGUGCAAGUCACAGCUGCUGCUUCUUCGUCUUCUUUUAAUUUUUUUCUUAAAUCAGUAUUUCUAGGUAAUUCAAAGUAGAUUGCGCUGUAUGAAUGAAAGAGGGGAUUUCUCACUCUUUGGGCUUCUUUGCGCUGUAUAAAUCAAUAUCUGAUUUCUUAAAUCAGAUAUUGUUGAUGAAGAAGUAGGCGUAUGAAAUUUUGCAUGCAAAUCGAAUUUUGAAAAUUUGUGUUGUGCAUUAUUUGCAGGAAUAAACGCAAAACAGAUAAAAUAUCAAUGGGCUUUCAGUUUCAAUGGAAGUUAUCUCCAUAAUUUCAAUGGGCUUGAAGUCUACCCUCA